Molecule: ribosomal RNA, 522 nt
Filed under: uncultured bacterium
Lineage: Bacteria
Description: bacterial SSU rRNA
Rfam family: Bacterial small subunit ribosomal RNA
Source: RNAcentral
UAGAGUUUGAUCCUGGCUCAGGAUGAACGCUAGCGGCAGGCCUAAUACAUGCAAGCUGAACGGUAAAUAUUCCAGCAAUGGGAUAUGAGAGUAACGUAAGGGUGCGUAACACGUAUGCAAUCUGCCCUGUACAGGAGGAUAGCUCGGGGAAACCCGGAUUAAUACUCCGUAAUAUUAUUGGGAGGCAUCUUUUGAUGAUUAAAGUCGCAAGAUGGUACAAGAUGAGCAUGCCUCAGAUUAUCUAGUUGGUGGUGUAACAGACCACCAGGGAUAUGAUCAGUAGGGGAACUGAGAGGUUGAUCCCCCACAGUGGCUCUGAUAUACGGGCCAGACUCCUACGGGAGGCAGCAGUAGGGAAUAUUGGUCAGUGGAUGCAAGUCUGAACCACCCGUGCCGCGUGCAAGAAGAAGGUCUUCUGGGGUGUAAACUGCUCUUGCCGGGGGAUAAAAUUCCCAUGCGUGGGACAUUGAAUGUACCCGGUGAAUAAGCCACGGCUAACUACGUGCCAGCAGCCCCGGUCAA